Molecule: ribosomal RNA, 430 nt
Filed under: Bacillota bacterium
Lineage: Bacteria; Bacillati; Bacillota
Description: Firmicutes bacterium partial 16S ribosomal RNA
Rfam family: Bacterial small subunit ribosomal RNA
Source: RNAcentral
UGGGGAAUAUUGGACAAUGGGCGCAAGCCUGAUCCAGCCAUGCCGCGUGUGUGAAGAAGGCCUUUUGGUUGUAAAGCACUUUAAGCGAGGAGGAGGCUACUUGGAUUAAUACUCUAAGAUAGUGGACGUUACUCGCAGAAUAAGCACCGGCUAACUCUGUGCCAGCAGCCGCGGUAAUACAGAGGGUGCGAGCGUUAAUCGGAUUUACUGGGCGUAAAGCGUGCGUAGGCGGCUUCUUAAGUCGGAUGUGAAAUCCCUGAGCUUAACUUAGGAAUUGCAUUCGAUACUGGGAAGCUAGAGUAUGGGAGAGGAUGGUAGAAUUCCAGGUGUAACGGUGAAAUGCGUAGAGAUCUGGAGGAAUACCGAUGGCGAAGGCAGCCAUCUGGCCUAAUACUGACGCUGAGGUACGAAAGCAUGGGGAGCAAACAGG